GUUUGGCACAUGCCCAGUCCCAGCUACACAAGAGGCUGAAGCAGGUGGAUUGCUUGAACCUAGGAGUUCUAGGCUGUAGUGCCCUAUGCCAGUUGGGUGUCUGCACUAAGUUCAGCAUCAAUAUGGUAGCCUCCCAAGAUGGGGGGACCACCAGGUUGCCUGAGGAGGGGUGAACCAGUCCAGCUCACAAACAGAGCAGGUCAAAGCUCCUGUAUCAGUCACAGGACUGCACCUGUGAAUAACCACUGCAUUCCAGCCUGGGCAACAUAGCAGGAAUA
Callithrix jacchus (white-tufted-ear marmoset) is the source of this 278-nucleotide unclassified non-coding RNA. It matches the Rfam family "Metazoan signal recognition particle RNA". From Rfam's summary of the family: The signal recognition particle (SRP) is a universally conserved ribonucleoprotein. It is involved in the co-translational targeting of proteins to membranes. The record is from Ensembl. Lineage: Eukaryota; Metazoa; Chordata; Mammalia; Primates; Cebidae.